Molecule: long non-coding RNA, 342 nt
Filed under: Panax ginseng (ginseng)
Lineage: Eukaryota; Viridiplantae; Streptophyta; Magnoliopsida; Apiales; Araliaceae
Description: long non-coding RNA (PGIN_LNC018342)
Source: RNAcentral
UGAACUUUGUUUUCUUAACCAAUCGUGAGAUUAGGCAUUUAGAGAUCGACACUGAGUUAGUACAGAACUUGGAAUCACUAAAGUGUUGCUUUCUUCUUUUCUAGAGGCCCCUUGAAUUGAGUUCUCCUUUUGAAAAGAGAAGUGGAAGUCUUUUGUGCGUUAGUUGCAUCUUUAGUACCGAGUACCGUACCCCGUAUGGAGCCACCGUCGCAGUAUAGCAUGGCGUGCCUAUCCGCUUGUGCUUUUAGUCGCUAUUCAAUUAACCCCCUAGAGUAGGGUGGGUGACUGACCCUACCGUUGUUAACUACUACAUGCAUAAAAAGGUCUGUAUUUUCCCUCGAA